RNAcentral lists this unclassified non-coding RNA (245 nucleotides) under Dalbergia assamica. Its description in RNAcentral is "contains psbA-trnH intergenic spacer". Lineage: Eukaryota; Viridiplantae; Streptophyta; Magnoliopsida; Fabales; Fabaceae. The record is from RNAcentral.
UAUUUUUGUCUUAAAGGAUACGAGUUUUUGAAAGUAAAGGAGCAAUAGAAACUCUGUUGAUAUUGCUCCUUUACUUUUUUUUUACAUAGCAAAGUCAUAUAAAAAAACAAAUGAAUGCUUCCAUUCUUUUGCUUUUUGUAUCCCAUCCUAUCUUAUCUUAGGAAACGAGUAAAAACUAAAGUUAGAGAAGAAACAGAAAAAUAAUAACAAAAGAAAAGAGUAUAAAUGGUUUAGUCUAGGAGAUU